This is a non-coding RNA of Oryza sativa Japonica Group (Japanese rice), 533 nucleotides long. The record is from RefSeq and is a predicted model, not a curated record. Lineage: Eukaryota; Viridiplantae; Streptophyta; Magnoliopsida; Poales; Poaceae.
GUUGGGCUCCACGGAGCUGCGACGACGGUAGCCUCGGCCAGGAAGCGACCCAUGGACCAAUGGUGGGAGCAUUUGGCAAGGACACACUCACUCAAGAACCAGACAUUGGCCUGUGAUGGGAAACAAGCUCGAGGAUGCCAGAUGGCUAUAGACUUGAUCCUUCCACUCUCACAGCCGUCAACAACAUCGGGGCGAUUCGUUUUGCUGCCUGGUGGGCUAUUGUUUACUGCUGUCUGCUUGCUGCUGAAUGAAGCAGCUAGCAAAUAUUGUUCCAAACUAAAAGUUGUAGUGGUUUGGUGUGAUGAGGAAGCCAGAAAAUUAAUGAUUUUCUGUACAAUUGGCACUGGACAUUCUUUCUGUAUCCAGAUUCAUUGAAGCAUGUAAUAUUUCAUCUUUGUACCAUGCUUCUAUUUAAGAGGUGUGCAGACUCUCACUGUUUCGUUUGAAUAUGCCAACCAUCAUGUUUAUUUUGCAAUUACCUACGACACUAGAUGAAGCACUUAUAUGUAAAUAUUACUGCAGAGUGUUUAUCA